CUUGCUUCCGAUGACGACCGGCGAACGGGUGAGUAACGCGUACACAACCUACCUUCAAGUGGGGGAUAGCCUCGGGAAACUGAGAUUAAUACCCCAUGUGAUUAACUUAUAGUAUGAUUGGUUAAUUAAAGUUCCGGCGCUUGAAGAUGGGUGUGCGUCCCAUUAGGUAGUUGGUGAGGUAACGGCUCACCAAGCCGACGAUGGGUAGGGGGCGUGAGAGCGUGGCCCCCCACACGGGUACUGAGACACGGACCCG
This 256-nucleotide ribosomal RNA is filed under the name uncultured bacterium. RNAcentral's name for it is "partial 16S ribosomal RNA". It matches the Rfam family "Bacterial small subunit ribosomal RNA", at positions 79 to 334 of the family's 1533-position model. The record is from RNAcentral.